RNAcentral lists this ribosomal RNA (700 nucleotides) under uncultured bacterium. RNAcentral's name for it is "bacterial SSU rRNA". It matches the Rfam family "Bacterial small subunit ribosomal RNA", at positions 8 to 756 of the family's 1533-position model. The record is from RNAcentral.
AGAGUUUGAUCAUGUCUCAGAACGAACGCUGGCGGCAGGCCUAACACAUGCAAGUCGAGCGCCCCGCAAGGGGAGCGGCAGACGGGUGAGUAACGCGUGGGAAUCUACCCAUCCCUACGGAACAACUCAGGGAAACUUGAGCUAAUACCGUAUACGCCCUUCGGGGGAAAGAUUUAUCGGGGAUGGAUGAGCCCGCGUUGGAUUAGCUAGUUGGUGAGGUAAUGGCUCACCAAGGCGACGAUCCAUAGCUGGUCUGAGAGGAUGAUCAGCCACACUGGGACUGAGACACGGCCCAGACUCCUACGGGAGGCAGCAGUGGGGAAUAUUGGACAAUGGGCGCAAGCCUGAUCCAGCCAUGCCGCGUGAGUGAUGACGGCCCUAGGGUUGUAAAGCUCUUUCAACGGUGAAGAUAAUGACGGUAACCGUAGAAGAAGCCCCGGCUAACUUCGUGCCAGCAGCCGCGGUAAUACGAAGGGGGCUAGCGUUGUUCGGAAUUACUGGGCGUAAAGCGCACGUAGGCGGACUGAUAAGUCAGGGGUGAAAUCCCGGGGCUCAACCCCGGAACUGCCUUUGAUACUGUCAGUCUAGAGUUCGAGAGAGGUGAGUGGAAUUCCGAGUGUAGAGGUGAAAUUCGUAGAUAUUCGGAGGAACACCAGUGGCGAAGGCGGCUCACUGGCUCGAUACUGACGCUGAGGUGCGA